RNAcentral lists this ribosomal RNA (348 nucleotides) under uncultured Comamonadaceae bacterium. Its description in RNAcentral is "bacterial SSU rRNA". It matches the Rfam family "Bacterial small subunit ribosomal RNA", at positions 421 to 763 of the family's 1533-position model. Lineage: Bacteria; Pseudomonadati; Pseudomonadota; Betaproteobacteria; Burkholderiales; Comamonadaceae. The record is from RNAcentral.
GGUUGUAAACUGCUUUUGUACGGAACGAAAAGGUCUGCCUUAAUACGUUGGGCCCCUGACGGUACCGUAAGAAUAACCACCGGCUAACUACGUGCCAGCAGCCGCGGUAAUACGUAGGGUGCGAGCGUUAAUCGGAAUUACUGGGCGUAAAGCGUGCGCAAGCCGUUAUUAAAACAGAGUGAAUUCCCCGGCCUCAACUGGGACCUGCAUUUGUGACUGUAGAGCUAGAAUGGGGUGGAGGGGGAUGGAAUUCCGCGUGUAGCAGUGAAAUGCGUAGAAAUGCGGAGGAAGACCUGAUGGCGAAGGCCUUCCCCUGGACCUGUACUGACGCUCAUGCACGAGAGCGUG